AGCGUAGACGGAUGGACAAGUCUGAUGUGAAAGGCUGGGGCUCAACCCCCGGGGACUGCAUUGGAAACUGCCCGUCUUGAGUGCCGGAGAGGUAAGCGGAAUUCCUAGUGUAGCGGUGAAAUGCGUAGAUAUUAGGAGGAACACCAGUGGCGAAGGCGGCUUACUGGACGGUAACUGACGUUGAGGCUCGAAAGCGUGGGGAGCAAACA
This 209-nucleotide ribosomal RNA is filed under the name uncultured bacterium. Its description in RNAcentral is "partial 16S ribosomal RNA". It matches the Rfam family "Bacterial small subunit ribosomal RNA", at positions 568 to 774 of the family's 1533-position model. The record is from RNAcentral.